GAAUCUCGCGUACUCAUAUCUUCCGUGAAUUGGUUAUGGAUGAUUCUCCUAAGGGGAAAAUCAUGAUGAAGAAGAAGAAGAAUAUUGACAAAUUGUAGGAGUCGCUCAAGCCGCAGUGGCUUAUCAGGCAAUAUAUAGUUACAAAGAACCCUCUAUGACACUUUCAUAUAUAGGAAAUGAAUGGUUAAAAGAGUUGAUGGGCGAA
This is a long non-coding RNA of Rhodamnia argentea, 205 nucleotides long. RefSeq lists it as uncharacterized. NCBI's taxonomy places the organism in Eukaryota, Viridiplantae, Streptophyta, Magnoliopsida, Myrtales, Myrtaceae. The record is from RefSeq and is a predicted model, not a curated record. The transcript has 3 exons.